AUGGGGCAGGCGUUCCGCAAACUGUUCGAUGCCUUCUUCGGCAACAGCGAGAUGAGGGUCGUGAUGCUUGGGCUGGAUGCAGCGGGCAAGACCACCAUCCUGUACAAGCUGCACAUCGGGGAGGUCCUCUCGACUGUCCCUACGAUUGGGUUCAAUGUUGAGAAAGUUCAGUACAAGAACGUGCUGUUUACAGUGUGGGAUGUUGGUGGCCAGGAGAAGUUGAGGCCCUUGUGGAGACAUUACUUUAAUAACACAGAUGGCUUGAUCUACGUGGUUGAUUCAUUGGAUAGGGAGAGAAUUGGAAAAGCCAAAGCAGAGUUUCAGACAAUAAUCAACGAUCCUUUCAUGCUUAACAGUGUCAUAUUGGUAUUUGCCAAUAAACAAGAUAUGAAAGGGGCGAUGACACCAAUGGAGGUGUGCGAAAGCCUUGGCCUCUAUGAUUUGAAGAACCGCGUCUGGCACAUCCAAGGUUCCUGUGCCCUCAAAGGUGAUGGUCUUUAUGAGGGCUUGGACUGGCUGUCAAGUACUCUGAAGGAUCUGCAAGCGUCCGGUCGCCUACCCUCAGGAGGGACCUAA
This 576-nucleotide ribosomal RNA is filed under the name Triticum aestivum (bread wheat). Its description in RNAcentral is "partial small subunit ribosomal RNA". The record is from RNAcentral. Lineage: Eukaryota; Viridiplantae; Streptophyta; Magnoliopsida; Poales; Poaceae.